UACGAAGGGGGCUAGCGUUGCUCGGAAUAACUGGGCGUAAAGCGCACGUAGGCGGCUUCUUAAGUCAGGGGUGAAAUCCUGGAGCUCAACUCCAGAACUGCCUUUGAUACUGAGAAGCUUGAGUCCGGGAGAGGUGAGUGGAACUGCGAGUGUAGAGGUGAAAUUCGUAGAUAUUCGCAAGAACACCAGUGGCGAAGGCGGCUCACUGGCCCGGUACUGACGCUGAGGUGCGAAAGCGUGGGGAGCAAACAGG
RNAcentral lists this ribosomal RNA (253 nucleotides) under uncultured bacterium. Its description in RNAcentral is "partial 16S ribosomal RNA". It matches the Rfam family "Bacterial small subunit ribosomal RNA", at positions 524 to 776 of the family's 1533-position model. The record is from RNAcentral.